ACCUUCCGCAAUGGGCGAAGGCCUGACGGAGCAACGCCGCGUGAGUGAUGAAGGGUUUCGGCUCGUAAAACUCUGUUAUUAGGGAAGAACAACUGCGUAAGUAACUGUGCACAUCUUGACGGUACCUAAUCAGAAAGCCACGGCUAACUACGUUCCAGCAGCCGCGGUAAUACGUAGGUGGCAAGCGUUAUCCGGAAUUAGUGGGCGUAAAGCGCGCGUAGGCGGUUUCUUAAGUCUGAUGUGAAAGCCCACGGCUCAACCGUGGAGGGUCAUUGGAAACUGGGAAACUUGAGUGCAAAAGAGGAAAGUGGAAUUCCAGGUGUAGCGGUGAAAUGCGCAGAGAUAUGGAGGAACACCAGUGGCGAAGGCGACUUUCUGGUCUGUAACUGACGCUGAUGUGCGAAAGCGUGGGGAUCAAACA
This 421-nucleotide ribosomal RNA is filed under the name uncultured bacterium. Its description in RNAcentral is "bacterial SSU rRNA". It matches the Rfam family "Bacterial small subunit ribosomal RNA", at positions 361 to 774 of the family's 1533-position model. The record is from RNAcentral.